Molecule: ribosomal RNA, 253 nt
Filed under: uncultured bacterium
Lineage: Bacteria
Description: partial 16S ribosomal RNA
Rfam family: Bacterial small subunit ribosomal RNA
Source: RNAcentral
UACGUAGGGGGCAAGCGUUGUCCGGAUUUAUUGGGCGUAAAGAGCGUGUAGGCGGUUAGGUAGGUCCGUUGUGAAAACUCGAGGCUCAACCUCGAGACGCCGAUGGAAACCAUCUAACUAGAGUCCGGAAGAGGAGAAUGGAAUUCCUGGUGUAGCGGUGAAAUGCGCAGAUAUCAGGAAGAACACCCGUGGCUAAGGCGGUUCUCUGGGAAUAUCCUGACGCUGAGGAGCGAAAGUGUGGGGAGCGAACAGG